This 354-nucleotide ribosomal RNA is filed under the name uncultured Desulfobulbus sp. RNAcentral's name for it is "bacterial SSU rRNA". It matches the Rfam family "Bacterial small subunit ribosomal RNA", at positions 1028 to 1382 of the family's 1533-position model. Lineage: Bacteria; Pseudomonadati; Thermodesulfobacteriota; Desulfobulbia; Desulfobulbales; Desulfobulbaceae. The record is from RNAcentral.
CUGGAGACAGGUGCUGCAUGGCUGUCGUCAGCUCGUGUCGUGAGAUGUUGGGUUAAGUCCGCAACGAGCGCAACCCUUGCCUUUAGUUGCCAGCAGUUCGGCUGGGCACUCUAAAGGGACUGCCGGUGUUAAACCGGAGGAAGGUGGGGAGUGACGUCAAGUCCUCAUGGCCUUUAUGACCAGGGCUACACACGUACUACAAUGGCCGAUACAAAGGGCAGCGACACUGCGAGGUGAAGCCAAUCCCGUAAAAUCGGUCUCAGUCCGGAUUGGAGUCUGCAACUCGACUCCAUGAAGUUGGAAUCGCUAGUAAUCGUGGAUCAGCAUGCCACGGUGAAUACGUUCCCGGGCCUU